RNAcentral lists this ribosomal RNA (766 nucleotides) under Elizabethkingia meningoseptica. RNAcentral describes it as "bacterial SSU rRNA". It matches the Rfam family "Bacterial small subunit ribosomal RNA", at positions 622 to 1395 of the family's 1533-position model. Lineage: Bacteria; Pseudomonadati; Bacteroidota; Flavobacteriia; Flavobacteriales; Weeksellaceae. The record is from RNAcentral.
UGCCAUUGAUACUGCUAGUCUUGAGUAAGGUUGAAGUGGCUGGAAUAAGUAGUGUAGCGGUGAAAUGCAUAGAUAUUACUUAGAACACCAAUUGCGAAGGCAGGUCACUAAGUCUUAACUGACGCUGAUGGACGAAAGCGUGGGGAGCGAACAGGAUUAGAUACCCUGGUAGUCCACGCCGUAAACGAUGAUUACUCGUUUUUGGGUUUUAUGAUUCAGAGACUAAGCGAAAGUGAUAAGUAAUCCACCUGGGGAGUACGUUCGCAAGAAUGAAACUCAAAGGAAUUGACGGGGGCCCGCACAAGCGGUGGAGCAUGUGGUUUAAUUCGAUGAUACGCGAGGAACCUUACCAAGACUUAAAUGGGAAAUGACAGAUUUAGAAAUAGAUCCUUCUUCGGACAUUUUUCAAGGUGCUGCAUGGUUGUCGUCAGCUCGUGCCGUGAGGUGUUAGGUUAAGUCCUGCAACGAGCGCAACCCCUGUCACUAGUUGCUAACAUUAAGUUGAGGACUCUAGUGAGACUGCCUACGCAAGUAGAGAGGAAGGUGGGGAUGACGUCAAAUCAUCACGGCCCUUACGUCUUGGGCCACACACGUGCUACAAUGGCCGGUACAGAGGGCAGCUACCUAGCGAUAGGAUGCAAAUCUCGAAAGCCGGUCUCAGUUCGGAUUGGAGUCUGCAACUCGACUCUAUGAAGCUGGAAUCGCUAGUAAUCGCGCAUCAGCCAUGGCGCGGUGAAUACGUUCCCGGGCCUUGUACACACCGCCC